GGCACCUGGCAAUGCAGAGCACAAAUACAUGCCAUGUUCUGUAAUACAGUGGGGAAGAGCUGCACCACACUGAAAACCUUCAAUACACAUUGGUGUUCCCUACCUGCCUUGUCCUUUAACAAGAGGAGACAUUGCUCACAGAACUGAAGACAGGGGUUGUAGGCCCUGUGCCAACAAAGGAAACGAAUGAAAUAACACCUCUCACAGCUGACUUCCCUGAGCAUCUGAUAGGUGAAGGUUCCCAUAGUGCAUGACAGCCCCUGUCAGCUUGUAGAUGGCUGUCUUUUCAUCAGCAGUGAAGCCCAGGAUGUCAAUGGCACUCUGUCUUGACAGUGACUUUGCCCGAUUCUCUGCUUGUGAUUGUCCCUUUCACAAAGGAUUCUUUGGGAUGAACCACGAAGA
Molecule: long non-coding RNA, 402 nt
Organism: Vidua macroura (Pin-tailed whydah)
Lineage: Eukaryota; Metazoa; Chordata; Aves; Passeriformes; Viduidae
Exons: 4
Source: RefSeq, a predicted model, not a curated record